RNAcentral lists this unclassified non-coding RNA (393 nucleotides) under Cotesia glomerata. RNAcentral describes it as "uncharacterized LOC123271606, transcript variant X2". Lineage: Eukaryota; Metazoa; Arthropoda; Insecta; Hymenoptera; Braconidae. The record is from RNAcentral.
UAUUCAUUUGCAUUACUCUGAAUAUUUUAGGGCUACUAAACCUUGACGCUUGUCCAGCAAUUUUGAAGUCAAAGAUAGUUCUUAUAUUCUGUUUAACAUAUUUCUUAUAAAAUUUAUUAUUGUAGAUCCACUUGGGGCGUGGAAUAUGGUUACCACAAGCGACUUUUAAUAAUGAUAUUUACACUGCAGGGUCAUCCCUAGCAAUGGUGGUAAAAAAUAUUGCAGUAUCUGUAUUCGGAGUAGAGUACCUGAAAUCCCAUAGUGUUAAAGGCAAGGCUUCGAACAAAACCAAAAGUAUCCCACGACCAGCUAUCGAUCCCACAAAAGCUCUCGCUAUACGAGAUAUUUUUGAAUACUACUUGAAAAAUGAAAAAACCAUGACUGGUCAGGCAU